GCCGGGCACAGUGGCUUGUGCCUGUAGUCCCAGCUACUCAGGAGGCUGAGGUGGGAGGAUCGCUUGAACCCAGGAGUUCUGGGCUGUAGUGCACUAUGCCAAACAGGUGUCUGCACUAAGCUCGGCAUCAAUAUGGUGAGCUCCUGGGAGCGGGGAACCACCAGGUUGCCUAAGGAGGGGUGAACCAGCCCAGGUCAGAAACAGAACAGGUCAAAACUCCCAUGCUGAUCAGUAGUGGGAUCUCACCUGUGAAUAGCCACUGCACUCCAGCCUGAGCAACACAGCGAGACCUCGUCUCUA
This is an unclassified non-coding RNA of Callithrix jacchus (white-tufted-ear marmoset), 300 nucleotides long. It matches the Rfam family "Metazoan signal recognition particle RNA". From Rfam's summary of the family: The signal recognition particle (SRP) is a universally conserved ribonucleoprotein. It is involved in the co-translational targeting of proteins to membranes. The eukaryotic SRP consists of a 300-nucleotide 7S RNA and six proteins: SRPs 72, 68, 54, 19, 14, and 9. NCBI's taxonomy places the organism in Eukaryota, Metazoa, Chordata, Mammalia, Primates, Cebidae. The record is from Ensembl.